ACAGUCGGGUCGGGAGCCCUGUGGCCUGGAGGAAGCGGGAGGAGGCGCGGGCAGCCGCCAGGGCGAGGCGACCCGGUGCGGGGGGACUCCCAUGGAGCGCGGACUCCUAAGGAAGUCGCUGGGAAUCCCACCGGCUGUACCGCAGGGCGUUAGUACCUAGAUGGCUUCGGUGCCCCCAAGCGAUGGGCUCAAGCUACAGGGCGGGCUUUGCACCUGGCCUUCUCAGCUCUGAGGCAGGCAGUGGGCAGCUUCGCCUCCACCCUCCGUCCAGCGCCCUUCCCAUGGGGCCAUCCGCCUCUCCCUAAGGCACUAAAAACCAGUGGAGGAGUCAGGCCAUGUUGGCAAAAAGGGCUCGGGCAGCAGCCCCAGACCUAUAGUCCUAAAUAUCCAUGUACCCAGCCCUGGGGUCGCGAGCCAUCUCAGGGACGACCCGAUUCCAGCGGAUGGAGAAGUUCCCUGAAAACACCUGCCUGGGAGGAGAGACGAGGGAACGAGAUUGGACAGUGCUUUACCAUGGAACUGAAACCAUGAAAAGUGAAACUGCAAAUGGGAGAGACUGCUGUAUAGUCACUGAAAAAUUAAUGGAUGAGCUCAACAGCAAAUUAGACACAACUGAAACCUUGGACCCAUGUGUGGAAGAUGACAGCAUCACCAACUGGAGGGUGCCUGGAUCCCUGAGUCACCACUUGAAGCAAAAAGGUCAAGAGUAGCCACCUGACCCAUAUCAGGCUAUGAAAUGAAGAGAAAAUGACACGAGGCUUUGGAACCAAGAGCUGGAGGAACCUGGAAGCGAAAGCUGAGGCUGUCGGCUGCCCAGCAGUUAACACCCUGAGACCAUCUUCCCACUUCCAACACCCACAGAAGCUGCCACCCAAGGGCCCCUGUGUCCCCGCAUGGCCCACCUCAGCAGUAUGAUGCAGCACUGGGGAAGUGACAGAAUGUGAAAAAAACUAUUAUAGCUGAGAUAUUUUAAAAUUCCGCCCUCCAGGCAGCAUCUGGUUGCUACAGCAACCCCAGCUCUGCAGGGUGUCCCGAUUACCAGCAGGCUCCCUGCACCUGCCUCAGGCUGAGAGCAGGCGGCUGCCGCCAAGGGGAACACCAAGGAAAUGCCCAUGUUCUGAUUCCAAGGUAAUGGCUCAGACCCAAGGGGAUUUUAUCUGUUCAAUGUGCAACCUGAUGAAGUUUUGUCCCAUGUUAAUAAUUUCAUUAAAAAUAUGGCCUUACAUCCUAU
Molecule: long non-coding RNA, 1231 nt
Organism: Homo sapiens (human)
Lineage: Eukaryota; Metazoa; Chordata; Mammalia; Primates; Hominidae
Product: long intergenic non-protein coding RNA 1664
Source: Ensembl